GAACUUAAGCAUAUCAAUAAGGCGAGGAACAGAAACCAACUGGGAUUCCCCUAGUAGUGGCGAAUGAAGCGGGAAAAGCUCAAGUUUGAAAUCCGGCGGGUGAUUUCCGGAGUUGUAAGCUGAUGAGGUAUCGACCGACGUGGUCCGGGCCCAAUUUCCUUGGAACAGGAGGUCAUGGAGGGUGAGAACCCCGUCCGUGGCUCGGGUGCCAUCGUCCUUGUGUCGUGUCCUCUAAGAGUCGGGUUGUUUGGGAAUGCAGCUCAAAAUGGGUGGUAAAUUUCAUCUAAAGCUAAAUACUGGCGAGAGACCGAUAGCAAACAAGUAGAGUGAUCGAAAGAUGAAAAGUACUUUGAAAAGAGAGUGAAACAGUACGUGAAAUUGUUGAAAGGGAAGCGUUUGGCAUCAGCCCUUGGCGUCCGUCGAACAUCCAGGCUUCUGCCUGGUGCACUCGUCGGUCGUCGGGCCAGCGUCGGCUCUGCCUGUCGGAGAAAGGUCCGAGGGAUGUGGCUCACCUUCGAGCGUUAUAACCUCGGGCGUCAUGCGAUAUGGUGGGGCCGAGGUCUGCGGACUCUGUCCUAGGACGCUGGCGUAAUGGUUCCAAGCGACCCGUCUUGAAACACGGACCAAGGAGUCUAACAUCUAUGCGAGUGUUUGGGUGUCAAGCCCGUCCGCGCAAUGAAAGUGAAUGCAGGCGGGAGCCGUAAAAGGUGCACCGCCGACCGGUCCGGGGGUUUACCGAAGGAUCCGAGUAAGAGCAUAGCUGUUGGGACCCGAAA
Molecule: ribosomal RNA, 776 nt
Filed under: uncultured fungus
Lineage: Eukaryota; Fungi
Description: eukaryotic LSU rRNA
Rfam family: Eukaryotic large subunit ribosomal RNA
Source: RNAcentral